RNAcentral lists this transfer RNA (77 nucleotides) under Pyrolobus fumarii 1A. RNAcentral describes it as "tRNA-Lys (CTT) (tRNA-Lys-CTT-1-1)". It matches the Rfam family "tRNA". From Rfam's summary of the family: Transfer RNA (tRNA) molecules are approximately 80 nucleotides in length. Their secondary structure includes four short double-helical elements and three loops (D, anti-codon, and T loops). The record is from RNAcentral. Lineage: Archaea; Thermoproteati; Thermoproteota; Thermoprotei; Desulfurococcales; Pyrodictiaceae.
GGGCCGGUAGCUCAGCCUGGCAGAGCGGCGGGCUCUUAACCCGUAGGUCCCGGGUUCAAAUCCCGGCCGGCCCGCCA